AUUGAACGCUGGCGGAAGGCCUAACACAUGCAAGUCGAGCGAGCGGCGGACGGGUGAGUAAUGUAUGGGGACUGCCCGAUAGAGGGGGGUAACUACUGGAAACGGGGGCUAAUACCGCAUAAUGUCGGAUAACCUAUAUGGGAUUAGCUAGUAGGUAAGGUAAUGGCUUACCUAGGCGACGAUCCCUAGCUGGUCUGAGAGGAUGAUCAGCAACACUGGGACUGAGAAACGGACCAGAAUCCGACGGAGGCAUCAGUGGGGAAUAUUGCACAAUGGGCGCAAGCCUGAUGCAGCCAUGCCGCGUGUAUGAAGAAGGCCCUAGGGUUGUAAAGUACUUUCAGUCGGGAGGCGUUACCGACAGAAGAAGCACCGGCUAACUCCGUGCCAGCAGCCGCGGUAAUAC
This 403-nucleotide ribosomal RNA is filed under the name uncultured bacterium. RNAcentral describes it as "partial 16S ribosomal RNA". It matches the Rfam family "Bacterial small subunit ribosomal RNA", at positions 30 to 526 of the family's 1533-position model. The record is from RNAcentral.